Non-coding RNA from Phrynosoma platyrhinos (Desert horned lizard), 71 nucleotides. Lineage: Eukaryota; Metazoa; Chordata; Lepidosauria; Squamata; Phrynosomatidae. The record is from the annotation of a GenBank genome assembly.
GCCAGCAUGGGAUAGUGGUUUGAGCCUUGGACUAUAACUCUAGAGACCAGGGUUCGGUCCCCAGUUUGGCC